AAGUCGUAACAAGGUCUCCGUUGGUGAACCAGCGGAGGGAUCAUUACCGAGUUUACAACUCCCAAACCCCUGUGAACAUACCUAUCGUUGCUUCGGCGGGCUCGCCCCGGCGCCUUCGGGCCCGGACCCAGGCGCCCGCCGGAGGACCCAAACUCUUGUUUUUGAUGAGUAUCUUCUGAGUAAACAAGCAAAUAAAUUAAAACUUUCAACAACGGAUCUCUUGGUUCUG
This 229-nucleotide unclassified non-coding RNA is filed under the name air metagenome. Its description in RNAcentral is "partial contains small subunit ribosomal RNA, internal transcribed spacer 1, and 5.8S ribosomal RNA". The stretch from base 1 to 46 matches the Rfam family "Eukaryotic small subunit ribosomal RNA", at positions 1786 to 1831 of the family's 1831-position model. The record is from RNAcentral.